CGGUAACAUAGGAGCUUGCUCCUGAUGACGAGUGGCGGACGGGUGAGUAACGCGUAGGAAUCUGCCUAGUAGUGGGGGACAACUCCGGGAAACCGGAGCUAAUACCGCAUACGCCCUACGGGGGAAAGCGGGGGAUCUUCGGACCUCGCGCUAUUAGAUGAGCCUGCGUUAGAUUAGCUAGUUGGUGGGGUAAAGGCCUACAAAGGCGACGAUCUAUAGCUGGUCUGAGAGGACGAUCAGCCACACUGGGACUGAGACACGGCCCAGACUCCUACGGGAGGCAGCAGUGGGGAAUAUUGGACAAUGGGCGCAAGCCUGAUCCAGCAAUACCGCGUGUGUGAAGAAGGCCUGAGGGUUGUAAAGCACUUUCAAUUGGGAGGAAAACAGCUGGGUUAAUAGCCCUGCUCUUGACAUUACCUUUAGAAGAAGCACCGGCUAACUCCGUGCCAGCAGCCGCGGUAAUACGGAGGGUGCGAGCGUUAAUCGGAAUUACUGGGCGUAAAGCGUACGUAGGCGGUUUGUUAAGUUAGAUGUGAAAGCCCUGGGCUUAACCUGGGAACUGCAUUUAAAACUGGCAGACUAGAGUUUGAUAGAGGAGAGUGGAAUUUCAGGUGUAGCGGUGAAAUGCGUAGAGAUCUGAAGGAACAUCAGUGGCGAAGGCGGCUCUCUGGAUUAAAACUGACGCUGAGGUACGAAAGCGUGGGUAGCAAACAGGAUUAGAUACCCUGGUAGUCCACGCCGUAAACGAUGUCAACUAGCCGUUGGGUCUAAUUAAAGACUUAGUGGUGCAGCUAACGCAUUAAGUUGACCGCCUGGGGAGUACGGCCGCAAGGUUAAAACUCAAAUGAAUUGACGGGGGCCCGCACAAGC
This 870-nucleotide ribosomal RNA is filed under the name uncultured bacterium. RNAcentral's name for it is "bacterial SSU rRNA". It matches the Rfam family "Bacterial small subunit ribosomal RNA", at positions 67 to 930 of the family's 1533-position model. The record is from RNAcentral.